This 643-nucleotide ribosomal RNA is filed under the name uncultured bacterium. RNAcentral's name for it is "bacterial SSU rRNA". It matches the Rfam family "Bacterial small subunit ribosomal RNA", at positions 78 to 719 of the family's 1533-position model. The record is from RNAcentral.
GCUUGCUUCUUAUGAAAGUGGCGCACGGGUGCGUAACGCGUAUGCAACCUACCUUAAUCAGGGGGAUAGCCCGAAGAAAUUCGGAUUAAGACCGCAUAAAAACACAGGAUAGCAUUAUCCAAUGUUCAAAUAUUUAUAGGAUUAAGAUGGGCAUGCGUGUCAUUAGCUAGUUGGCGGGGUAACGGCCCACCAAGGCGACGAUGACUAGGGGAUCUGAGAGGAUGACCCCCCACACUGGUACUGAGACACGGACCAGACUCCUACGGGAGGCAGCAGUAAGGAAUAUUGGUCAAUGGAGGGAACUCUGAACCAGCCAUGCCGCGUGCAGGAAGACAGCCCUCUGGGUCGUAAACUGCUUUUAUUCGGGAAUAAACCUUUCUACGUGUAGGAAGCUGAAUGUACCGAAGGAAUAAGGAUCGGCUAACUCCGUGCCAGCAGCCGCGGUAAUACGGAGGAUCCAAGCGUUAUCCGGAUUUAUUGGGUUUAAAGGGUGCGUAGGCGGCUUAUUAAGUCAGGGGUGAAAGACGGUGGCUCAACCAUCGCAGUGCCCUUGAUACUGAUGAGCUUGAAUACACUAGAGGUAGGCGGAAUGUGACAAGUAGCGGUGAAAUGCAUAGAUAUGUCACAGAACACCGAUUGCGAA